RNAcentral lists this ribosomal RNA (498 nucleotides) under uncultured bacterium. Its description in RNAcentral is "partial 16S ribosomal RNA". It matches the Rfam family "Bacterial small subunit ribosomal RNA", at positions 28 to 523 of the family's 1533-position model. The record is from RNAcentral.
GAUGAACGCUAACUACAGGCUUAACACAUGCAAGUCGAGGGGUAGCAGGGUAGCAAUACCGCUGACGACCGGCGCACGGGUGAGUAACACGUAUCCAACCUUCCCAUAACUCGGGGAUAGCCUUUCGAAAGAAAGAUUAAUACCCGAUAGUACUUAACAAAGGCAUCUUUGAUAAGUUAAAGAUUUAUUGGUUAUGGAUGGGGAUGCGUUCCAUUAGAUAGUUUGUGAGGUAACGGCUCACCAAGUCUUCGAUGGAUAGGGGUUCUGAGAGGAAGGUCCCCCACAUUGGUACUGAGACACGGACCAAACUCCUACGGGAGGCAGCAGUGAGGAAUAUUGGUCAAUGGGCGAGAGCCUGAACCAGCCAAGUAGCGUGAAGGAUGAAGGUCCUAUGGAUUGUAAACUUCUUUUAUAGUAGAAUAAAGUGAUCCACGUGUGGAUUUUUGUAUGUAUACUAUGAAUAAGGAUCGGCUAACUCCGUGCCAGCCGCCGCGGUAA